AAUCCUGAGUAAUUGCGGCUAUCUUUAUGAUAGCUGAGGAAAGUCCAUGCUCGCACAGGCUGCAAUGCCUGUAGUGUUCGUGCUCGGUGAAAAAAUAAGCCGGGGGACUCUAACGAGUUACGGCGGAUUUAAGGCUAAGGUCGUCAGACUAUGCUAGCGAUCCUUAAGGUGCCACAGAGACGAGUAAUUAGGGAAACUUAAUUGUUGGAACGCGGUAAACCCCUCGAGCGGGAAACCCAAACUUUGGUAGGGGAGCUUCACACACGGAAAACAAACCAAGUGUGGGGGGAAAGCUUUAUUGCUUUCGAGAUAGAUGAUUACUACUUGUCGUUCCUGUCCUGGGGAAUUGAUAAGCACAAAACAUGGCUUACAGGG
RNAcentral lists this RNase P RNA (375 nucleotides) under Lentilactobacillus terminaliae. RNAcentral describes it as "Lentilactobacillus sp. SPB1-3 RNase P RNA component class B". It matches the Rfam family "Bacterial RNase P class B". Rfam says of the family: Ribonuclease P (RNase P) is a ubiquitous endoribonuclease, found in archaea, bacteria and eukarya as well as chloroplasts and mitochondria. Its best characterised activity is the generation of mature 5'-ends of tRNAs by cleaving the 5'-leader elements of precursor-tRNAs. Cellular RNase Ps are ribonucleoproteins. Lineage: Bacteria; Bacillati; Bacillota; Bacilli; Lactobacillales; Lactobacillaceae. The record is from RNAcentral.